Small nucleolar RNA from Spea bombifrons (plains spadefoot toad), 133 nucleotides. Lineage: Eukaryota; Metazoa; Chordata; Amphibia; Anura; Pelobatidae. The record is from RefSeq and is a predicted model, not a curated record.
UUGCACUGACAAGUGUCCCCUCUGUCUAUUCCAUGGCUGAGGGAUCGCUUAACGGUGCUAGAUCAAAUCCCUUCUUGGAGAUAGGACAAGUUACAAGAAUGUAACCUGUCCCUACUGAUAGUUGGGUACAAGC